AUGGUGACACUGGGGACAUGGACACGGUGUCACUGCCCUUGUCACACUGCCAUUUGUCACAUGCCCAUCCCAACCCCCCACCUGUCCCCCUGCGUGUCCCUUGGUCACCCCAUCCAUCCAUCCAUCCAUCCAUCCAUCCAUCCAUCCAUCCAUCCAUCAUCCAUCCAUCCAUCCAUCAUCCAUCCAUCCAUCCAUCAUCCAUCAUCCAUCAUCCAUCCAUCCAUCAUCCAUCAUCCAUCCAUCAUCCAUCCAUCAUCCAUCCAUCAUCCAUCCAUCAUCCAUCCAUCAUCCAUCAUCCAUCCAUCAUCCAUCCAUCAUCCAUCCAUCCAUCCAUCAUCCAUCAUCCAUCCAUCAUCCAUCCAUCCAUCCAUCAUCCAUCCAUCAUCCAUCCAUCAUCCAUCCAUCAUCCAUCCAUCCAUCAUCCAUCCAUCCAUCCAUCCAUCCAUCAUCCAUCCAUCCAUCAUCCAUCAUCCAUCCAUCAUCCAUCCAUCAUCCAUCCAUCAUCCAUCCAUCAUCCAUCCAUCCAUCCAUCCAUCAUCCAUCACCCAUCCAUCCAUCAUCCAUCCAUCCAUCCAUCAUCCAUCCAUCCAUCAUCCAUCCAUCAUCCAUCCAUCCAUCCAUCAACCAUCCAUCAUCCAUCCAUCCAUCCAUCCAUCAUCCAUCCAUCAUCCAUCCAUCCAUCCAUCCAUCAUCCAUCCAUCAUCCAUCCAUCAUCCAUCCAUCAUCAUCCAUCCAUCCAUCCAUCCAUCAUCCAUCCAUCAUCCAUCCAUCAUCCAUCAUCCAUCCAUCAUCCAUCCAUCCAUCAUCCAUCUAUCCAUCCAUCAUCCAUCAUCCAUCCAUCAUCCAUCCAUCUAUCCAUCCAUCCAGCAGGCACAGUCGGGGGCGGGGCCGCUCUCUGUCGCGACUCAGCGAUGUCGCCGACACCGGGAGGAGCCUCUCGCCUCCCCCAUUCCCCGCUGGCCGCGGGGCGGGCAUGGAGAGAUCGGGGUCGGGAAGGGAAAGGCCGGAAUCGAUCCCCGCCCCAUCGGCAUGAUCGAUCCCCGCCCCGAUCGUGAUCGAUCCCCGCCCUAUCGGGACGAUCGAUCCCUGCCCCGGGGCUCGGUUGCGCCGCUCCCUGGCUCCCGCUUUUCCCGUGUGGAUCGCUCCGGGAGCGGCGUGCGGGAGCCGCGUCCCCCCGCUGCCAUCCCCGUCCUCCCUCCCACCUCCAGCGGCCGCACCGGCCCCGGAAUUCCCGCAUGGAUCGGGAACAGCGGCACGGGAGGCUCCGACCUUCUCCUCCUCCAUCCUCCCAGGGAAGCGCGGCCGGGACGGGGAGAGCCGCGCCCCGACGGCAUCGCCGCCGCUCCGGGGAAAAACCGGCAACCGCAGAGCAGCACCGGCGGCUCCGCGUCUUUUUUUGGGGUUAUUUCUCUAUUUUCGGGGGGUACCGGCGGUGCGGGAGCGGCCGCGGGCGGUGCCGGCCGG
RNAcentral lists this long non-coding RNA (1464 nucleotides) under Taeniopygia guttata (zebra finch). RNAcentral describes it as "lncRNA (ENSTGUG00000027974.1)". The record is from RNAcentral. Lineage: Eukaryota; Metazoa; Chordata; Aves; Passeriformes; Estrildidae.